AUGAAAAGUGGUAGCAUGAAAGUGCUAAACAUAUAAUUUUCCUUUGUUUUGAUUUAUUUGAUAGUGGUUAGCAACAGUAGUGUAUUAUUUUCUUUUGAACUUUCUUUGGUCCAAGAAGAAUAACAUAACUGGUUUUAAUUUUUUGUAUUUUGUUUUAUAUUAUUAAAUUUCAUUAUAUUAAAAUAUCGCUAUUUAAUUUUGGUUAGAUUUAAAAUGUAUUAUAUAUAUUAUUUAAAUAUAUUUAAUCAGAUAUUAUGAAAACAAAAAUUUAGAAAUUUCUAUAAUAUUUUAAAAUGUGCUGCUUGGUGCUCUCUCUUUAUUCAGGUGCUGAAGUGGUGCAUUGUGAAGAAAUUAUUAGAUUUGAUUAGUAUAAACAUUUAUCCUCUCUCUAAAUAAAAUCAAUUAGUAUUUUAAAUUAACCAACCUCUAUUUAUAUAAUGAAAGAAUAUUUUCUCAUUAAUUAUAUUUUAAUUAAAUAGGCAACCAAAAUUUAUAAACUUUAAAACGAAAUUUUAAUAAAUGUUAAUUGUUAAAUACAAAUGAAAAUAAAGUUUUGUUGUUUUAAAUAAGUUAUGGUUGAACAUUCCAAUUUCCAAAAUAGUUGUAUAUUUGUUUUUUUUUCUUGUGACACUGAUGGUUGUAUAUUGGUUACAUAAAUAUUUUUGCAACAGUCACUGGGACAACCAUUCAAGUUUGUUACUCCCUCUGUUCUCGAAAGUGAGAUUUUUUAGAUUUUUUUCUUGUUCCACAAAAAAAGAUUUUCUAUAUUGUUAAGGUAUUUUUUUUUAUACUUUUGAAGGAAAAGAAAGAGAAGAAAUAUUUCUAUUCUAUGUUUUUCAAAUUAAAUAUAAUACAUCAAAUAUUUCAUUUUAAUGUGAAUUUUUCAUCUUUUUAAGAAGUGAAUGAUAAGAAUUAUGAGGAGGAGAAAGGGGAUAUGAUUGGUUAGAAGAGUUGGUGGAAUUGUCAGCGAAAUUAAUAAAGAAGAAACAAGAGGAGAAACAUUUAUAUUUAAUAUUUCCAAAUAGAAAAAAAUACAACAAAAUAAUGUAGUUUAACGUGAACUGUUCAUAUUUUCCAAAACUGCAAAAUAAAAAUAAGAAACAAAGAAAAAAUAUAUGACUUGCGGACGAAUUGAAAUAAUUGUAAUUAAAAUUGAUGGACAAGAAAGAAAAAGAGGAGCUGAGAUGUAAUAAGGAAGAGGAGGAUUGAGAAGUGAAGGAUGAGACGUGAGGAGUGAAAAGGAAAGUGGAGAGUGAAGAGUAAAGGAGAGGAAGAGUGAAGAGGGAGAGGAGAGUGAGAACCGAGCAUGUGUUAAGCACAAUUUACAUAUUAUAAUAUGUUAUAUUUAUUAAAACUAUAUAGUAUAAAACAAUAGAUUUAUAGUGAACCUGAAAAGUGAAAAUAAGAAAUGAAAAAUUAGAACUGAUGAGUGAGGAAGAGAACAAGGAGAUGGAAGAAAGUGAGGAGUGAAGAAGGGAAUGACAAUGACAUAUUAUAAUAUGACAAUAACAUAGAGUAGUAUGUUAGUGUAUUUUAAUUUAUACAUGGUUGCAGACUGAUUGUUUUGGUGUAGAAUAAAAAGAAACUAUGAAAACUAACUGUGGUUGUACAAGAAGUCAGAUUUUAUGUUUAAAUAACUCUAAACAAGGUGAUUCAUAUCAAAAAUAUUUAAUUGUUUAUAACUUUAUAUUACACAAAAAACUGAUUUCUAUUUUAUUUGUUUAAGUAAAAAAAAAUAGAAUAGACUAUUUAAUAUAUGUAGAACUGUUCAUCAUCUUCUAUAGUUUGAUGUCUGAUUUUUCUAUUUUUCUCUUUCCAACUUUUGCUAAUUAAGAACAGUUAACAACAAUUUGAAUCUACUAAAUUUGUGUCAUAAUUUUUGUUUUUGUCAAAUAUUGAUCAUUAACACCUUUUUUAGUUAAUGUUAUUUCAUGGUUGGUCAAAAUAAGUUUGGAAUAGAAAACAGAUACUUAAUUAUGGAUUAGAAGAAAAUCAUAUAAGCUGCAAAAGAAAAAAACAUGAAUAUGUGCGUGUGAGUUUUUAGGAGGAUUAAUGGAAUAAAUACAUAUUAUAUAUGGUAUAUUUUAACCAUUAGGCUCGUCGUGUGAUUAGACCAUGAUUAACGCGGUUGCUUAGUUGGGUUUUUUUUAAUGUAAUUAGAAUUAGAAAAAAUAAAUAAAAUUAGCUUUUAAUAGAAGAAACGUUUCUUAGUAAAGUGCUACAAAACACGGCUCUUAUGAGACAUGUGUCCCCCAUUGAAAGAGUUGCGUUCAUCUCUAUCUCUCUCUCGACGGAAUCAUUCCGUGUCUCUCUCGCUCUCCUCGACGAUGAAUCACUAUGCGUCUCUCUCGGUGUCUCUCUCUUGAUGGAAACCCUCCGCGUCUCUCUCCCUCUCCUCGACGACUGCCUCUCUUUCUUAAUCUCUCCUAGACGAUGAAUUUCAUCACUCCGCAUAUCUCUCGGUGUCUCUCUCUCGACGGAAUCACUUUGCGUCUCUCUCGCUCUCCUCGACAACAUCAAAUCGGCGACUAUUGAUGUUGAUGCUCAGUCGAAUCGAUAAAUGGAUGGAUCAAGAGACAUGAAGGUCAUCAAAGAAGAGGACUACAAUUGCAAUACAGGUCUUGAAAGAGUGAAAGAGUGGAGCAUUGGGAGUGGAAGAAUCACGGACUGAAUUGAAGUCUUGUAUUCUUGUGUAAACUAUGUAUUUAUUCCAACGACGAUUUAGAAUGAACAAGCCAUUGUUCAUGCAUAUUGUUGAUCGACUCUCCAAUGAAGUUCAAUUCUUUCGACAAAAGAAAGAUGGUCUUGGGGCUUGGUCUCUAUACACUUCAAAAGUAUACAAUAGCUAUUCGUGUCUUGGCAUAUGGUAUUGCGGCUGAUACGGUUGACGAAUACCUCCGGCUCGAUACAACUACUACUCGGUCAUGUUUGGAAAAGUUUGUAGAAGGAAUAAUAUAGUUAUUCGGUGAUGAGUACCUAAGAAGAUCAACACCGGCUGAUCUUCAACGUCUACUUGAUAUUGGAGAGCAUCGUGGAUUUCCCGGGAUGAUAGGAAGCAUCGAUUGUAUGCAUUGGGAGUGGAAGAAUUGUCCCACCGCUUGGAAAUGUCAAUAUUCACGUGUUUCAGGAAAACUCACAAUCAUUUUAGAGGCGGUUGCUUCAUCUGAUCUAUGGAUAUGUCAUGUGUUUUUGAACCUCCAGGUACCUUAAAUGAUAUCAAUAUUCUUGAUCGCUCCUCUAUUUUUGAUGACAUAAUAAAAGGUCAAGCUCAGCAAGUGACUUUCUCUGUCAAUGGAAGAGAUUAUCAUUUCGCUUACUAUCUCACCCGAUGGUCUUUAUCCGAAAUAGGAAACUUUUAUCCAAUCUAUUUCAAUUCCCCAAGGGCUGAAAGCAGUUUUAUUUGUUCAACAUCAAGAAGCUGCCCAAAAAGAUGUCGAGCGUGCUUUUGGAGUCUUGCAACCUCGAUUUGCCAUUGUUAAAAAUCCAACAAUUUUUUAGGAUAAUGUCAAAAUUGGAAGACGAACAGAUGGAUACACUCAAUUUGAUGUUUCAGAGUUCCAACAAAGAGAAGAAAACAGAAGUUCACAUGUGGAUCUCACGUAUUCUACAAAUAUCCCUACAAAUAUCGCCAAUAUGAUGGGUGUUCGAACUAGAAUUCGUGAUAGACAAGUUCAUCAACAACUGAAAACUGAUUUGGUUGAACAUAUAUGGCGUAAAUUUGGACGUGAUCAACAUAACAACUGAGCUUGGAUGUUUCUUUGAAAUUAUUAUAUUUUAUUUUACUAAUCUAUGUUUUAAUGUUUUUAUUUUAAAAUCUAUAUUUUAAAUAUUAUCUUUGACUAUGUUUUAUUUAAUAAAUAAAUUUUAUCUUUAAUAAAACAAUAUUUUAUAAUUUUUUUAAGAACCCUAAAUUAUGUUCUAGUUCUACCAUUGGAGCACUCAGACUAAUUGUUUUUUUAACAAAACUUCUUAACUUAAGUUUAUUAGUUAAAUAUUUAUUAAGAAUCCCAUUAGGGUUUCCCGUAUUAAUCAUGUUUUUACUUUCUAAAUUAAUUUUAUGGUUAUUGCUUCUAAUUUUCCUAUACAAAAAUAACAAAAGUGAAGAGCCUUUUAACUUUUAUAAGAAAGAAGAAUAAGUAGGGACAUGAAUCGACCACAGUGCCUUUUAUAUUAUACAAGAAUAAUAAAAGUGAAAAUAUUUUAUUAUAAGAAAUAAGAAUAAGUGGGGACAGGAAUCGACCACAAUAUGCCUUUUAUAUUGUCUAUCUAUUAUUAUAAAGAGGAGUGUCUCUCUCCUCCUAGGCGGCCAUAUCACUAAAUAGAGAGAAAAAAUGCCGACACCUGUCCCCUGAAACAAAACUCACCAUUUCAUUAAUGUCUUAUUGUGUAUUGGUCACUUUGUUUUGAUUCUUUAUGGUUUUGAUUAUUUAUGGGCUUAUUGGAAUCAUCUUUUCUUAUUUAGUUUUGUAACCCAAACUGAUUGGGAGAGACGAUCUUCUUUGCGAUCUCACCAAUCGUCUUCUUCAAUCUGUGUUUUGUGAUGAUCUAAACCAAAGCCGGAGUCUUUGAAUGUCGAUUGAGACGAAACGUUUAUCGUUUUUCGUUCUUACCCUCGAAGACGUUAUGAUGUCUUGAUUCAUCGGCUUUAAGAAACCUCUUAACUCCAUCAACGCAAAUCAAGCAGAUGUCUCUGUAAUGACCCAAAUUCGGGCCCAAAAAAUACAGGUCGAGGCCCAAAUCCAUUUCCAGAAGCCCAUGGUAUUUUUCUAUAAAAAAUCACCUCUAUCCACUUUGUUUUUUCCAAAACAUCAAAAAUUUGGAAAAGAGAAGAGAGAGUUAAGAGAAAUGGGAAUAUUGAAUUGUAGAGAGUUCUGAGAUCUUCGCCGGAGCCACCACACACCAUGACGGCGCUGAACUCGUCCCCACCGUUCGCAACCCUAGGUAACCACCACAAACCGCCAUGCAUUUAGUUCAGUUUCGGCUGUUUUAGUAAAUCAACCAUAACUUCCUAACCGUUGAAAAUUUCGUGCAUUCAAGACAACCAUCGUGUUCCUAUCGUCGAGACGAAGCCAUAGACACCAAUCGCGCUGCAAUCGGAGUCCGGACGAGCCCUCACGCGCAUUACCACCGCCGCCACAUCGCCGUCACCGGUGACUCUUCCGGUAAGCCACCGCCCUUUGAUAGACUAUGGAUUUGACCCGUUUUUAUUCAUAGUUUAUAGGUGUUUUACUAAUAUUUAUAUUAUUAUAGAGUCUAUUUAUUAUAUUUAUAAGAUCAAGAAUGUUUUGUAAAUAAGUGAUGAUUUUGGAGCAUUUUGGAGAUAUUUGGAGGAAGCACCCGAGAUGACCAUCAAGAUCGACAAUCAGUCGAUAUUGGAGAGCUAGAAUCGAUUGAUACACAAGUAAUGGUGUCGAUCGAUAGCAAAGCGCGCAGAAGCCUGUUUGGUCACAGCCGACUUGAAGCCCAAGAUUUCACUAUUUUACAAGAUUGCCCCUGACAUGUUUUACCCUAAUUAUAUAAGAUUU
Brassica napus (rape) is the source of this 5525-nucleotide long non-coding RNA. RefSeq lists it as uncharacterized. The transcript has 3 exons. Lineage: Eukaryota; Viridiplantae; Streptophyta; Magnoliopsida; Brassicales; Brassicaceae. The record is from RefSeq and is a predicted model, not a curated record.